Eriocheir sinensis (Chinese mitten crab) is the source of this 174-nucleotide long non-coding RNA. RefSeq lists it as uncharacterized. The record is from RefSeq and is a predicted model, not a curated record. NCBI's taxonomy places the organism in Eukaryota, Metazoa, Arthropoda, Malacostraca, Decapoda, Varunidae. The transcript has 3 exons.
GGGUAAGAAAGAAAACUAAUAAAAUAAAGCGUGUAAGGUUAAAGGGGUAAGAAAGAAAACUAAUAAAAUAAAGCGUGCAAGGUUAAAAGGGUAAGAAAGAAAACUAAUAAAAUAAAGCGUGUAAGGUUAAAAGGGUAAGAAAGAAAACUAAUAAAAUAAAGCGUAAGGUUAAAA